Molecule: long non-coding RNA, 2120 nt
Organism: Melospiza melodia melodia
Lineage: Eukaryota; Metazoa; Chordata; Aves; Passeriformes; Passerellidae
Exons: 6
Source: RefSeq, a predicted model, not a curated record
CGCAACGGCCGACGCGGCCCGGCAUUUUUCUCUAAAUCGGCAGUAAAUACAGCUGAGUAAAAUCAGCUUGGUUUUCUUCCUUCUUUUGUAACUGAACUGUUUUUAUUAAAAAUUCUAUUUGAAUAUGUAGAAAAAGUGGGGAUGUCCUGUAACAUAUCGUAGCUUUUCUUGUUUACAGGGUACUCAGAAAGCAUGCGUCCCUUAGAGUCCCACGGAAAGGUUCUCAGUGCGCUCUCUAUCAAGUGCUAUGAGUCUUGAUAAAUUGGAGAAGAGCCCAAGAGAAAUUUUUCAUCCCUUGAUAUAAAAGGGAUCGGUGAAUUUUAACUUUGGAGUCCUCUAUGCUAAGGAUGCUCAGCUUACAGGUGAUGAAAUGUUCAGUAAUGUAUUUGCUGCAGCUCUGCUUACCCAAGCUUUGGGUUCCUUCUGUCCCACUGGGAGUUGCCCAGUUUGGUUGCAUCUGGUGAAAUUCACCCUGAGACCUUACAGAACCAGCUCCAACUACAUGAGAGCCAUUUGCAGUUCUCUCCAGACACCUGGAGAAUGGGCGACAUUUCUGAGGAUCCGGCGAGCGUGCCUCUAUCAAAACUCAGUCUGUGAAGUUUCUGGGGAAAACCCUUCUGUGUCCUGAAGGGUUCAAACUCUGGGAAAGACUCUCGUAUCCUCGUCGUCGGGCUCGGUGCUGUCCAAGAAGAUACAGAGACUAAAAAAAUCAUAAGAAGCAAAAUAUGACUGCAGGGAAAAGAAGCUGGAGAGAACAGAAGGCUGCCAUUUGUGUGCCAUCGGUACUCACCAUGGAAGCGAGCUGGGGAUUGUUGCACCCGUUGGGAACAAACCGCUUCUCGUCACACAGAAAUGGAAUUGGGACGACGCCUCGGUCAGCCCCUCUCUGCCAUCGUCUCCUGAAUCUGCAGCAGAGCAGUUCCAGUCCAUCCGGGCACGUGUAAUCCAGUUCCUGAUGAUCUGAGCACACGGAGCAGCGCUCAGCUGCUGUGGGGGGCUCACGGAAGGCAGAGUGUGCAUUGUCAUCUUCCUGAACCUACAGACAAAUCAAAGUGAGAAGCCACAGCGUGGAAAUCAUUUGCAUAUAUGCUAAACAAAACUUGCAGGUUUUUUUUAAGAAUUGUUUCUGCUUGUUCUUUGUUGUGCUUCUGUGCUUAGAAAACCUCCCUUUAAAAUCAGUUCAGUUCAUCAGUUGAACCUUUGUUUGCAGACCCUCAGUGAGCAGAAUUUGUUGCAGACUCAGUGCACGCUGUGCCGGCCUCCCGGGAGUGUGAGGAGCUCAUGUGUGCUACUUUUUGCUUUAGGACGCUCUGAGGUAUUUAUUCCUUUUGGGAUACGUGAUGAGAAUUCCCAGGAGAGGUAGUUAUAAGGUAUGACAUUGGGAAAAAGCCUGUGUGGUUGGAAUGUUGUUGCUGUCAAAAGUUAAUUUUUCCUUCAUUCUUAGCCAGUAGUUAGCUUUGUGCUUUAUUUUUGUGGUAUCAGUAUUUUAUUGUUUAAAAAAUUCCUUCAAAAUAACUUCAGUGGUUGCCCACCAGUACCUUGUUCAGAUUUGCCUAUUUGCUUGUAGCUGAAAUGUUCACAUCUUGUUUAUCAUUCUAUUUAAGAAACUGCUGCCCAGCCAACUAAUAACUGAAUAUCCAUCUGUCUAGGACACGGGGAGAGGAUUUAGGUAAUGUCUUUGUUUCCAGAAAAAAGUUCCAGUGAAGUUUCUAAAUAGAGGAGAAGGGGGUGAAGACUCAGGGCUCUGAUGCCGUUGGGGCACCCCAAGGUCCCCAGGAGAGGGAGCGGUGCAGGAGCAGGUGUGUUCUCAUCUAAUAUUGAACAAAUUAUAAAUAUAAAUAUGAAAGUUAUAAACAUGAAAAUAUUUUUAAAAUACUUAAAUGAAGCGGGUUUUCUUUAUUGGUCAAUAGGCAGGGUUUUGAUUGUAAAAAUUAUAAAUACAAAUAAUAUAAAAGUAGAAAUCUAAGUUUAGAAAUAUAUAAUAAAUACAUACAGAUAAAUAUAAAAAUUAAAAAUAUAAGAAAAAAUUAGUUGUAGCAGUAGAUAUUAUACAUAAUUUAAAUAAUAAUUUAAAUCUAUUUUUAAAUUUUAUAUAUAUAAUAUGUCAUUAUUAAUGUAAU